ACGUACGCUGGCGGCACGCCUAACACAUGCAAGUCGAACGAAGUAGCAAUACUUAGUGGCAGACGGGUGAGUAACAUGUAGGUAUCUGCCCUUUGGCCUGGAAUAACACGAGGAAACUUGUGCUAAUACCGGAUAAGUCUUUACGGAGAAAGCUUUAUGCACCAUUGGAUGAGCCUGCACUAGAUUAGUUUGUUGGUGGGGUAAUGGCCUACCAAGACUAUGAUCUAUAGCUGAUUUGAGAGGAUGAUCAGCCACAUUGGAACUGAGACACGGUCCAAACUCCUACGGGAGGCAGCAGUAGGGAAUCUUUGC
RNAcentral lists this ribosomal RNA (312 nucleotides) under uncultured Pelagibacterales bacterium. RNAcentral describes it as "SSU rRNA". It matches the Rfam family "Bacterial small subunit ribosomal RNA", at positions 29 to 368 of the family's 1533-position model. Lineage: Bacteria; Pseudomonadati; Pseudomonadota; Alphaproteobacteria; Candidatus Pelagibacterales. The record is from RNAcentral.